CGCCUCGAGGGGGGGGCGUCACUGCGCAGGCGCGGCCUCCGGAGCCCGUCCCUGCUCGUGCCCGUGCAAGAGGAGCAGGGCGCAGCUCGCUCACGGCAGGCCCAGUGUCCUCAAGGCUAGCAAAUUUGGGUGCUGCCAGUUCCGAAGAUCAGAGAAUUCCAGAGAUGCAGACCCCCCAGAGAGCCUCCUGCCAAUUCUCUGAAGAAACACCUCACAGAUUGCAGCUGCUAUGAAGCAGUUUUAAAGUCAUGACAGCAACAGAACAGUGAUGGAAUAUGUCAAAGUCAAGAAAUAGCUGUGGUGGCAAGAACUCAUCCUCACAGAAAACGAAGAUUCUGGAUGCGGUUUAAUCAUAAAUAAUUCAUAAAAUUAAAUACAUUCACUAAAAAAUAAACUACAAAGUAAAAAAAUGAAAAA
This is a long non-coding RNA of Ornithorhynchus anatinus (platypus), 417 nucleotides long. RefSeq lists it as uncharacterized. NCBI's taxonomy places the organism in Eukaryota, Metazoa, Chordata, Mammalia, Monotremata, Ornithorhynchidae. The transcript is spliced from 4 exons. The record is from RefSeq and is a predicted model, not a curated record.